This 472-nucleotide ribosomal RNA is filed under the name uncultured bacterium. Its description in RNAcentral is "bacterial SSU rRNA". It matches the Rfam family "Bacterial small subunit ribosomal RNA", at positions 328 to 793 of the family's 1533-position model. The record is from RNAcentral.
GUAGAGCACUCCUACGGGAGGCAGCAGUGGGGAAUAUUGCACAAUGGGCGCAAGCCUGAUGCAGCCAUGCCGCGUGUAUGAAGAAGGCCUUCGGGUUGUAAAGUACUUUCAGCAGUGAGGAAGGUGGGUAUGUUAAUAGCAUACUCAUUUGACGUUAGCUGCAGAAGAAGCACCGGCUAACUCCGUGCCAGCAGCCGCGGUAAUACGGAGGGUGCGAGCGUUAAUCGGAAUUACUGGGCGUAAAGCGCAUGCAGGUGGUUUGUUAAGUCAGAUGUGAAAGCCCGGGGCUCAACCUCGGAAUUGCAUUUGAAACUGGCAAACUAGAGUACUGUAGAGGGGGUAGAAUUUCAGGUGUAGCGGUGAAAUGCGUAGAGAUCUGAAGGAAUACCGGUGGCGAAGGCGGCCCCCUGGACAGAUACUGACACUCAGAUGCGAAAGCGUGGGGAGCAAACAGGAUUAGAUACCCUGGUAG